UGAGAGAGAUGGAGCGGAGAGAUUCAGAGAGAGGCAGAGGGUAUCAUCCGGGAGAAAGAGUAUAGGAGGCCAAUCCUAGGACAAACAACAUCUGGGCAAUCGAUCAUCCUGGACACAGGAGGUGCAGGGGGGCCACGAGGAAGAGAUCAGAGAAGCCUGACUGCAGAAGGAGGUGAAGUGUAAAAAGAGACUCUGGACAGUGACAGGGCCCCUCCCUCUUCCAGAGA
This 227-nucleotide long non-coding RNA is filed under the name Homo sapiens (human). RNAcentral describes it as "HSALNT0105094". The record is from RNAcentral. Lineage: Eukaryota; Metazoa; Chordata; Mammalia; Primates; Hominidae.